RNAcentral lists this ribosomal RNA (316 nucleotides) under uncultured Sandonidae. Its description in RNAcentral is "SSU rRNA". The stretch from base 97 to 316 matches the Rfam family "Eukaryotic small subunit ribosomal RNA", at positions 734 to 955 of the family's 1831-position model. The record is from RNAcentral. Lineage: Eukaryota; Cercozoa; Glissomonadida; Viridiraptoridae.
GACUUCUGGUUUAAUGCACCUGGCCCGCGGCCCACAAGGCCUGUGAGUGCCGGCGCGCGUUUACCAUCCUUCCAGCAACGGCUACCCUUAACUGGGCGGCUGGAACUGGAUCUUUUACUUUGAAAAAAUUAGAGUGUUUAAAGCAGGCGUUUGCUCUGAAUACAUUAGCAUGGAAUAAUAAUCUAGGACUUCGGUUCUAUUUUGUUGGUUUCUAGAACUGAAGUAAUGAUUGAUAGGGAUAGUUGGGGGUGCUAGUAUUGGCCGGUCAGAGGUGAAAUUCUUGGAUUCGGUCAAGACUAACUUAUGCGAAAGCAUU